Molecule: long non-coding RNA, 959 nt
Filed under: Setaria italica (foxtail millet)
Lineage: Eukaryota; Viridiplantae; Streptophyta; Magnoliopsida; Poales; Poaceae
Description: long non-coding RNA (SITA_LNC002989)
Source: RNAcentral
GUACAAAGUCCGAUUCGGGCCUCAACUAAACAAGGCCCUAGUUAUUCGGAGCUUCCUUCUCGGUGGGUCUGCUGGUUUUUUAAAAACAGCAACAGAAGGAUCCCCGAGUACGAAAGGUGGUGGCUUUGCUCAUCUAGGGGCUCGACGGGGCGUUCAGGCAUUUCGUCGAACACGUUGUGGGCGAGGUGGAGGCUGGCUGUGUUCCAGAAGCUGAGAUGCAGCAGCUUGGCGUCGUUAUUCAGUCUUGGUUCAGUGUAGUCGUCGCUGACCGGGACUGCAGCUUGGCGUAGAUCAGGCAGCGGCAACUGUAGCUGCUGCGGACGUCGGCGGCACUGCCGCUGCUUCGGCUCGAGCUCCAUGUGGCACAGUCCUCCGGCUCCCUCCCACAGUCGUCGUUGGGGAGGAAGCUGACGCUGUGCUGCUGCGCGGCCCUUCGGCGAACAGCCCGGGCACCACGGCCAUGCCCAGACCAAAACGCCACAGCGUGUCCAGGCGGCGGUGUUCCAGCCUAGCUGCUGGUUCGGCUUGCGCCUGGGCAAGAGAAGGGAAGGGGAGCAGAGCUGCUGCUGUUGGAAUUGGCUUGGAUUGGAAAACAGAGGAGGGAGAUAGCGAUGGGAGAGGUGCUCCUGCUUGUGGUGCUUGACGGUUAAUCGGAGAAGAGCUGAACGUGCUUAUUGAUUUGGGAAAGAAAAGAACCAAGCUGUUUGCUUGCUUGAUCGGUGGAGCAGAAGAUAGCGAGAAAGAGAGAAGGGAGCAGGCUGCUGGUUCUUGCGGUGGAGAAAAAGACGGGGGGAAGAGAUCGAGCUGAGAGGGCAGGGAGGCAAGAUGCAGGAGAAAGAACAAGAGGGGCUCUGGCUUGCGGUGGAAGGAGAGGGCAGAAGAGAGCAGGGUGCGGCGGCGGCUUGGGAGGAGAGAAGAGGGAGGGUAAGUGGUGAGAGGGUGGGAGGGUGAGUGGUGAG